This 465-nucleotide ribosomal RNA is filed under the name uncultured bacterium. RNAcentral describes it as "partial 16S ribosomal RNA". It matches the Rfam family "Bacterial small subunit ribosomal RNA", at positions 28 to 507 of the family's 1533-position model. The record is from RNAcentral.
GACGAACGCUGGCGGCGUGCUUAACACAUGCAAGUCGAACGGUAAGGCCCCUUCGGGGGUACACGAGUGGCGAACGGGUGAGUAACACGUGAGCAACCUGCCCUUGACUCUGGAAUAACAGUUGGAAACAGCUGCUAAUACUGGAUAUUCAUCGUCUCCUUCCUGGGGGGUGAUGGAAAGCUCCGGCGGUCAGGGAUGGGCUCGCGGCCUAUCAGCUUGUUGGUGAGGUAAUGGCUCACCAAGGCUUCGACGGGUAGCCGGCCUGAGAGGGCGACCGGCCACACGGGGACUGAGAUACGGCCCAGACUCGUACGGGAGGCAGCAGUGGGGAAUAUUGCACAAUGGGGGCAAGCCUGAUGCAGCAGCGCCGCGUGCGGGAUGAUGGCCUUCGGGUUGUAAACCGCUUUCAGUAGGGACGAAGGGUGACUGACGGUACCUACAGAAGAAGGACCGGCUAACUACGUG